Molecule: ribosomal RNA, 409 nt
Filed under: uncultured bacterium
Lineage: Bacteria
Description: bacterial SSU rRNA
Rfam family: Bacterial small subunit ribosomal RNA
Source: RNAcentral
CAGCAGCCGCGGUAAUACGUAGGGGGCAAGCGUUGUCCGGAAUCAUUGGGCGUAAAGCGCGUGUAGGCGGCCAUCCAAGUCCGAUGUGAAAGCUCGGGGCUCAACCCCGAGUCUGCAUUGGAAACUGGCUGGCUUGAGUCCGGAAGAGGAGACUGGAAUUCCUGGUGUAGCGGUGAAAUGCGCAGAUAUCAGGAAGAACACCGGUGGCGAAGGCGGGUCUCUGGGACGGUACUGACGCUGAGACGCGAAAGCGUGGGGAGCAAACAGGAUUAGAUACCCUGGUAGUCCACGCCGUAAACGAUGGGCACUAGGUGUGGGAGGUGUCGACUCCUUCCGUGUCGAAGCUAACGCAUUAAGUGCCCCGCCUGGGGAGUACGGCCGCAAGGCUAAAACUCAAAGGAAUUGACGG